UACAGAGGUCCCGAGCGUUGUUCGGAUUCAUUGGGCGUAAAGGGUGCGUAGGCGGCGGGGUAAGUCUGAUGUGAAAUCCCGGGGCUCAACCCCGGAACUGCAUUGGAUACUGCCUUGCUAGAGUACUGGAGAGGGAACUGGAAUUUACGGUGUAGCAGUGAAAUGCGUAGAGAUCGUAAGGAAGGCCAGUGGCGAAGGCGAGUUCCUGGACAGUAACUGACGCUGAGGAGCGAAAGCCAGGGGAGCAAACGGG
RNAcentral lists this ribosomal RNA (253 nucleotides) under uncultured bacterium. RNAcentral describes it as "partial 16S ribosomal RNA". It matches the Rfam family "Bacterial small subunit ribosomal RNA", at positions 524 to 776 of the family's 1533-position model. The record is from RNAcentral.